CCCAGACUGGGCACGGUUCGUUCAAAGCAAGGUGGAGAAGUGGGGGGCAUUUGCGAACGACUGGGUCACUGGGGCCAGAAAUCUCCACAUUGUACACUUCGAGAACAUGCAGGUGAAUCCGAAAGACGAGUUGCUGAAGAUCCUGCAGUUCCUCCACCUGAGAGUCGACCCUCUUCGUCUCAAGUGCGUCUUGGCCAAUUUGAACGGCGCCUUCAGGAGAGUCACCCCGGAAAAUACCUUCUACAGAAAAAAGGACCCAUUCACUCCGGAACUCCACGCAGCUGUCGAAAAGCACAUAAGGGACGUGAACGACGCCCUCAUACAGCGUGGAUGGCCGCCUCUGCCGACGCAUCUCUACAACUAUCACGUCGAAGUAGAAGACCCCUUGAACUCCGCGCAAAACGACCAAGAGGAAGA
Macrobrachium nipponense is the source of this 417-nucleotide long non-coding RNA. RefSeq lists it as uncharacterized. The record is from RefSeq and is a predicted model, not a curated record. The transcript has 3 exons. NCBI's taxonomy places the organism in Eukaryota, Metazoa, Arthropoda, Malacostraca, Decapoda, Palaemonidae.